AACAAUAUAAUUCAAGUGAUAAAAUUAAUCAUAAAAAUUAAUGUUAAUUCACUUUCGAAGAUCCUUUUAUUUAUUUUUAAACACAAAAAAAUAGUCAAUUUAUUUGAUAUUAUUUCGAACAUAACCAAAAUUUUAUCAAGAUAAUAACUAUGUUUACAAUGAAAAUAUUUUAACGAUCUAUCUCUGUGAAUAUAACGAUUAAUUAAAAAUUCGCUAUAGAAGAUGUAUUAUUGUAUAAUACGAAAUACGUAAAAAAGAGUAAAAAUAUUUGAAAAAAUUUAUUCUCUCGCAAAAUCAUUUAAAAUCUAAAAUUAUUUCUCCUGUUGUAUUUUGCACAAUUGAACGUACCAAAAAGCCUUUCUCAUUUUUGGAUCUGUGAUUGAUAAUACGAGGCUUUAUAUUCCAAGACAAUAAUCGAUUCUCUAUUUGCUCUUGACAAAAGCAUAUGUUACGAUAAAGCCGAAUCGUACAUAAUAUGUAUGUACAAUAUUUAGUAACUAUAUGUCAAGAAUAUCUUUGAGUUUUCAUUAAAAAAAAAAAAAGAAAGAAAAGAAAAAAAAAGAAAAAAAAUGAGACGAGUAAAAAAAACAUGUUCAAUCAUACAAAUUAUAUAUAAAAACUAACUUGUGAAAUUUCAGAUCAAAGUUAUCAUCCUGAAAUAGUGCUACAUUGUUACUAUACAUUUGCAUAAUAAUGAUAUUAAUAAUAAUAAUAAUAAUAAUAAUAAUGAUAAUAAUAAUAACAAUAAAUGUAUAAAAUGAGCGAACUUUAUUAAAAACUGACAACCAUACUUUCGUUUAGAUUUAAAACGCUUUGUUGGAAGUAUCGUCUACAAUGGCGUUAAAAAUCAACUUGUCAAUGUUUUUCGUGUAGUUUGAAUAAAAUAACUUUCUCUCUUUGGUAAAAAACUAUAGAUAAAAACACAAAUGAAACUUCUAUCACAUGUCAUGCUCUGAAUACUGCGUGUAGGUAUAUAUAUAUGUACAUGCGUCAUCAGAAGAUGAUAAGCCAAACAAAUUGUACCACAAAAAAUAUGAAGUUCCACGUGUAAAAAUAAAAGUAUUUCGUGGCCCAACAGAAGAAAAAAAUGGUGAAACAUUUGCUAAAUGGGGAUUUUGGAUAAAACAACCACGUAAUUCAUCCGUACAUACUGCUUAAUAAAUUAAAACUAAGUUUCGUGGUGACAAUUUUGCAUUAAAUACCGGUCUUAUUAUAGGAUUUAAGUUUCUUUCUGAAAGAUAUAAAAAUCUAUCCAAAAGUACUAAUGUUUCUACCAAUGGUGCCAGUAAAAUUCUAAGAGAAGAAAAUAUAACAAUUUGUAACCAAUAACUUAAAUAAUGUUCUACUUCUGUUCCUUCAAGAUCAGUAUCCUUUGGUUGUAAUUCAGAUUGAAGAUGACGUGUUGCAAGAAAACAAUAUCUGAAAGAGCAAAAUAUAUAUAUAAAAUUUAUCACUUAGAUCGUAUAAUAUAUUUUUAUAGCUAUGUAUAGGAUUUUAUUUCUUUUUUCUUAACUGUUUAAAAGUCAUAUCUCUUGUUACUUUAACAUUUUUUAAUUGACUAUGGGAAGGCAACAAAUUUCUUUCUGUAAGUAUAUUUUCCAAAACUGCUCUGUAAGCAUGUACCUUAAAAAUAAGUUUGUAUUAAUUUAAGUAUA
Vespula pensylvanica (western yellowjacket) is the source of this 1655-nucleotide long non-coding RNA. RefSeq lists it as uncharacterized. Lineage: Eukaryota; Metazoa; Arthropoda; Insecta; Hymenoptera; Vespidae. The record is from RefSeq and is a predicted model, not a curated record. The transcript is spliced from 5 exons.